UCCCUAGGUUUGCACUCAGUGAGAUGAAACUCAAUGUCCUUGUUCUGUGAUUUUUUUUUUAACCCAAGAGCCCUAUCCCCAAGAUCAAGUUCUUCUCAGCAAAUGGACAAGUUUUCUUGUGUAGUUUAAAAAGGUCUCUCAGAACUGGCAUUUAGACAGUGCCAAAGGAGCCCUCACAUAACACUUUCCACUCACAAGGGGAUGCAAGCAACCAUAUGAGGGAGAGAUCACACUGCCUUCCCCCUCAUCCCAGAAUAGGCCUUGGCACCACUAAUGAUGGUGGGACACCACAGGAAGGUCACAUCAUCGCCUGCUGGCUAUUCUAGGCACCAAGAAACCCAUCAAGCCCUGGAUAUAACUUCCGUUUAUAGAAAAUACAGAGGACAGAGGAACGAGGUAAGUGACACCACAUGAGAAUGCAACCAGACAGAGCCAGAUAGUGAACCAUUCCACGGGGCUACUAGCCGAGGUUCUUCCACCAGUCAAUGUCAUAACAAAGGGGCAGGGAGGGACUGACCUGCAGGAUAUAACAACCACAUGUAAAGUGCGUUUCUGGAUUGCAAACUGAUUUGGACACACCAUCUAUAAAGGGCAUUUUGGGGACAACUGGAGAAAUGUGUAUGUGAUUAGAGUAUCAGGUGCACUGAAAAUUUAUGGAAACAAAAUGGGUGGAGACUGCUGCCUU
Long non-coding RNA from Sapajus apella (tufted capuchin), 685 nucleotides. RefSeq lists it as uncharacterized. Lineage: Eukaryota; Metazoa; Chordata; Mammalia; Primates; Cebidae. The transcript is spliced from 2 exons. The record is from RefSeq and is a predicted model, not a curated record.